GGGGAAAGCAAGGGCCCGUUAUGUACUUGCCGGGCCCUCCAAACUCUGCAGAGCCAGCAAUGGCUCCUGCUAUGGCAAUAGCAGGCCCCCGCCCCCGCCCCCGCUGUACUCUUCUUUGCCAGGGAGCACCACUCAUAGUGGGAAUGCAUAUAACCCUGGAGGGUGACUGUUCCCACUCAGAGCGUGCCUGUUGGAGAAAGAGGUUUUGCUCGGGUCUGUGUUUUUUAAAACUGUUGACUUGUAUAACUGGAAAUCCCAUAGUAAGGGCUUACGGGUGAGCCCACAAGAGUUCAUAACUCGCAUAUGGAGAAUAUUCUCCACACAUAACCCUACCUGGCCAGGUGUGCAGACCUUAACAGCAACCCUGCUCACAGCAGAAGAUAAAUCUGCCACCAUGGCCAAAACUGAGGAGGAGGCAGACAAUAUGUGUGCUGAUAACCUGGUGACCUGUCCUGUUGAGGUGUUGGUCCCAAUAGCUAACCCAAACUGGGACCCCAAUGAUGACAAGAAUCAAGAGUGGCUUCAUCAUUAUAGGAAUAUGCUUCUCAGAGGUAUGAGGGAAGCAAGCCAGCCCCUGGUCAAUUGGGGAAAUCUCAGAGAAACAGAACAAGGCCCUAAUGAAAAUCAGCAUUCCUAAAUUGAUAAUAAGAAUGCCUCCAGAAUUACAGCCCUUGGGACCCAAAUGACCCAAAAGCCGAGUAGUACUUUAAUCCCACUUCAUCUCUCAGCCCCAGAUAUUCAGAGAAAACUCUAAAAAUUGGCAAUAAGUCCACACACUCCCCCUUUCCAACUGGUAGACAUCUCCUUUAAGGUCUACAGUAAAGAGAUGUGGCAUCUGAUGAAAAAGAGGACAAGAAGAUGCAGCAGCCCUACAGACUACUUCAGGAAAACCAGGAAGAAGAUGGCAUGAGUGAGUGACCAGGGCCCCCGCCAUGGAAAUCAGGGCCUGCCUACACUGAGGCCCAAACAAUGUGCUUACUGGAAGCAGAAAGGAUGCUGGGAAAGGGAAUGUCCAAAUCAUCUCCAGAGAGGGAAGAAAGAGGACAAGCCUGAGGUACCAGUUCCCUGUAACUGGACAAGAAACUGAUGGAUGGGGCCAUGGGGCUCCCUGCCUGGCUCCUCAAAACAAGAUCCACAUCUCCCCUCCAGGUUACACAGAAUAAGGGGGGCAGCCAGUUGGGUUGUUAAAUUUUUUUUAUUUUUUUGAGACAGAGUCUGUUACCCAGGCUGGAGUGCAGCACCGUGAUCAUGGCAUACUGCAGCCUCCAACUAGGCUCAAGCAGUCCUCCUACCUUAGCCUCUCAAGUAGCUGGGACUAAGGCACACCUGGCUAAUUCUUUUUGUUUGUAGAGACAAGGUCUCGUUAUGCUGUCAGGGCUGGUCUUGAACUCCCGGGCUCAAAUGAUCCUCCAACCUUGGCCUCCUGAAGUGUUAGCAUUACAGGCAUGAGCCACUGUACCCGGCCACCAGCUAAGUUUUUGAUCAACACUGUAGCCAUGUUUUCUGUGUUGAUCACUAAAAGUGGACCCUAUCCAGGAGGGAAUGUAUAUAAGGGAUAUGUCUCAUAAAGGAAAUAAAAGAUUCUUGGAGCCUCUGGUCCAUGAAAUGGUAUCUAAAA
Macaca mulatta (Rhesus monkey) is the source of this 1618-nucleotide non-coding RNA. The record is from RefSeq and is a predicted model, not a curated record. Lineage: Eukaryota; Metazoa; Chordata; Mammalia; Primates; Cercopithecidae.